This 490-nucleotide ribosomal RNA is filed under the name uncultured bacterium. RNAcentral's name for it is "bacterial SSU rRNA". It matches the Rfam family "Bacterial small subunit ribosomal RNA", at positions 28 to 507 of the family's 1533-position model. The record is from RNAcentral.
GAUGAACGCUAGCGACAGGCUUAACACAUGCAAGUCGAGGGGCAGCAUGAUUUGUAGCAAUACAGAUUGAUGGCGACCGGCGCACGGGUGAGUAACGCGUAUGCAACUUACCUAUCAGAGGGGGGAUAGCCCGGCGAAAGUCGGAUUAAUACCCCAUAAAACAGGGGUCCCGCAUGGGAAUAUUUGUUAAAGAUUCAUCGCUGAUAGAUAGGCAUGCGUUCCAUUAGGCAGUUGGCGGGGUAACGGCCCACCAAACCGACGAUGGAUAGGGGUUCUGAGAGGAAGGUCCCCCACAUUGGUACUGAGACACGGACCAAACUCCUACGGGAGGCAGCAGUGAGGAAUAUUGGUCAAUGGCCGAGAGGCUGAACCAGCCAAGUCGCGUGAAGGAAGAAGGAUCUAUGGUUUGUAAACUUCUUUUAUAGGGGAAUAAAGUGGAGGACGUGUCCUUUUUGUAUGUACCCUAUGAUAAGCAUCGGCUAACUCCGUG